This 630-nucleotide ribosomal RNA is filed under the name uncultured bacterium. Its description in RNAcentral is "bacterial SSU rRNA". It matches the Rfam family "Bacterial small subunit ribosomal RNA", at positions 216 to 842 of the family's 1533-position model. The record is from RNAcentral.
CGGUGGCGGAUGGGCAUGCGGCGCAUUAGCUAGUCGGCGGGGUAACGGCCCACCGAGGCGACGAUGCGUAGGGGUUCUGAGAGGAAGGUCCCCCACACUGGUACUGAGACACGGACCAGACUCCUACGGGAGGCAGCAGUGAGGAAUAUUGGUCAAUGGGCGCGAGCCUGAACCAGCCAAGUCGCGUGAGGGAUGACGGUCCUACGGAUUGUAAACCUCUUUUGCCGGGGAGCAAGCGUGCGUUCGUGAACGCGCGUCGAGAGUACCCGGAGAAAAAGCAUCGGCUAACUCCGUGCCAGCAGCCGCGGUAAUACGGAGGAUGCGAGCGUUAUCCGGAUUUAUUGGGUUUAAAGGGUGCGUAGGCGGGAUGCCAAGUCAGCGGUAAAAAUGCGGUGCUCAACGCCGUCGAGCCGUUGAAACUGGCGUUCUUGAGUGGGCGAGAAGUAUGCGGAAUGCGUGGUGUAGCGGUGAAAUGCAUAGAUAUCACGCAGAACUCCGAUUGCGAAGGCAGCAUACCGGCGCCCUACUGACGCUGAGGCACGAAAGCGUGGGUAUCGAACAGGAUUAGAUACCCUGGUAGUCCACGCAGUAAACGAUGAAUGCUAACUGUCCGGCUCGAAUGAGCGCUGG